CCCCUAGAUGUUCUGGGCCGCACGCGCGCUACACUGAACAGUUCAACAAGUCUUAACCUUGGCCGAUAGGUCUGGGUAAUCUUUGAACGCUGUUCGUGAUUGGGAUAGACCUUUGCAAUUAUGGGUCUUCAACGAGGAAUUCCUAGUAAACGCAAGUCAUCAGCUUGCAUUGAUUACGUCCCUGCCCUUUGUACACACCGCCCGUCGCACCUACCGAUUGAAUGGUCAGGUGAAAUCUCGGGACGGCGGCUUGGUCGCUUGCGUCCGACUGCUGAAACUUGAUUAAACCAUAUCAUUUAGAGGAAGGUGAAGUCGUAACA
Molecule: ribosomal RNA, 320 nt
Filed under: uncultured eukaryote
Lineage: Eukaryota
Description: partial 18S ribosomal RNA
Rfam family: Eukaryotic small subunit ribosomal RNA
Source: RNAcentral